This 207-nucleotide ribosomal RNA is filed under the name uncultured bacterium. Its description in RNAcentral is "partial 16S ribosomal RNA". It matches the Rfam family "Bacterial small subunit ribosomal RNA", at positions 568 to 774 of the family's 1533-position model. The record is from RNAcentral.
CGCGCAGGCGGGCUAAUAAGUUGGAUGUGAGAGCCUACGGCUCAACCGUAGAACUGCAUCCAAAACUGUUAGUCUAGAGUGUGGGAGAGGAAGAUGGAAUUAGUUGUGUAGGGGUAAAAUCCGUAGAGAUAACUAGGAAUACCAAAAGCGAAGGCAAUCUUCUGGAACAUUACUGACGCUGAGGCGCGAAAGCGUGGGGAGCAAACA